RNAcentral lists this ribosomal RNA (789 nucleotides) under uncultured archaeon. RNAcentral describes it as "bacterial SSU rRNA". It matches the Rfam family "Archaeal small subunit ribosomal RNA", at positions 85 to 879 of the family's 1478-position model. The record is from RNAcentral.
ACGGCUCAGUAACACGUGGAUAAUCUACCCUAUGGAGGGGGAUAACCCCGGGAAACUGGGGAUAAUACCCCAUAGACUAUGGAUGCUGGAAUGCUCUGUAGCCGAAAGGUCCGCCGCCAUAGGAUGAGUCUGCGGCCGAUUAGGUUGUUGUUGGGGUAACGGCCCAACAAGCCUGUAAUCGGUACGGGUUGUGGGAGCAAGAGCCCGGAGAUGGAUUCUGAGACACGAAUCCAGGCCCUACGGGGCGCAGCAGGCGCGAAAACUUUGCAAUGCGGGAAACCGUGACAAGGGAACUCCGAGUGCCCGUAAAUUCGGGCUGUCCAUCUGUGUAAAUAGCAGGUGAAGAAAGGGCCGGGCAAGACCGGUGCCAGCCGCCGCGGUAAUACCGGCGGCUCGAGUGGUGGCCACUAUUACUGGGCUUAAAGCGUUCGUAGCUGGUCUGUUAAGUCUCUGGGGAAAUCUACCGGCUUAACCGGUAGGCGUCUCAGGGAUACUGGCAGACUAGGGACCGGGAGAGGUGAGAGGUACUCCAGGGGUAGGAGUGAAAUCCUGUAAUCCUUGGGGGACCACCUGUGGCGAAGGCGUCUCACCAGAACGGCUCCGACAGUGAGGGACGAAAGCUGGGGGAGCAAACCGGAUUAGAUACCCGGGUAGUCCCAGCUGUAAACGAUGCGCGUUGGGUGUAUCGGUGACCACGAGUCACCGAGGUGCCGAAGAGAAAUCGUGAAACGUGCCGCCUGGGAAGUACGGUCGCAAGGCUGAAACUUAAAGGAAUUGGCGGGGGAGCAC